UACAGAGGGGGCAAGCGUUGUUCGGAAUUACUGGGCGUAAAGGGCGCGUAGGCGGCCUUCUAAGUCGAACGUGAAAUCCCCGGGCUCAACCCGGGAACUGCGUCCGAUACUGGAAGGCUUGAAUCCGGGAGAGGGAUGCGGAAUUCCAGGUGUAGCGGUGAAAUGCGUAGAUAUCUGGAGGAACACCGGUGGCGAAGGCGGCAUCCUGGACCGGCAUUGACGCUGAGGCGCGAAAGCCUGGGGAGCAAACGGG
This 253-nucleotide ribosomal RNA is filed under the name uncultured bacterium. RNAcentral describes it as "partial 16S ribosomal RNA". It matches the Rfam family "Bacterial small subunit ribosomal RNA", at positions 524 to 776 of the family's 1533-position model. The record is from RNAcentral.